AUCGCCUUUCUUGUCAUAGUUACCAUACAAAAACCCUGCUCUGAUCAAGUACCUAUUAUUUUUUCCUUGAGUAGCAUUUAGGGUGUAACAACUUUUGGUUCCCUCUGGGAAGCUUCGAAGAUUCAAAUACUGCCUGUCCAUGUUCAUGGUGUUGAUUUCAGAUGAUAUAUUUUCACUUACACCAGUGUAUAUGUAGGGUGCAUCUGAAACGUAGUUGAUGCUUGUGAUCUCAUCCACAUAGCUAGAACCAUCAGUGAUGCCACUGUCUAUGCUAAUGAAAUCUGAUUGGUCCUGAGCGCAACCCAGAAAUGAAAGGAGAAAAGCACCACUGAAAAUUGCAAAG
Molecule: unclassified non-coding RNA, 343 nt
Filed under: Hevea brasiliensis (rubber tree)
Lineage: Eukaryota; Viridiplantae; Streptophyta; Magnoliopsida; Malpighiales; Euphorbiaceae
Source: RNAcentral